Molecule: transfer RNA, 66 nt
Filed under: Goniada japonica
Lineage: Eukaryota; Metazoa; Annelida; Polychaeta; Phyllodocida; Goniadidae
Description: tRNA-Ile
Source: RNAcentral
GAUAACGCGCCGGUAUGAACGGAUAACUCUGAUGAUGUUAACUAUGAGGUUUACCUCCGUUAUCUC